RNAcentral lists this ribosomal RNA (451 nucleotides) under Enterococcus faecium. RNAcentral's name for it is "bacterial SSU rRNA". It matches the Rfam family "Bacterial small subunit ribosomal RNA", at positions 1 to 430 of the family's 1533-position model. The record is from RNAcentral. Lineage: Bacteria; Bacillati; Bacillota; Bacilli; Lactobacillales; Enterococcaceae.
UUUUAUGAGAGUUUGAUCCUGGCUCAGGACGAACGCUGGCGGCGUGCCUAAUACAUGCAAGUCGAACGCUUCUUUUUCCACCGGAGCUUGCUCCACCGGAAAAAGAGGAGUGGCGAACGGGUGAGUAACACGUGGGUAACCUGCCCAUCAGAAGGGGAUAACACUUGGAAACAGGUGCUAAUACCGUAUAACAAUCAAAACCGCAUGGUUUUGAUUUGAAAGGCGCUUUCGGGUGUCGCUGAUGGAUGGACCCGCGGUGCAUUAGCUAGUUGGUGAGGUAACGGCUCACCAAGGCCACGAUGCAUAGCCGACCUGAGAGGGUGAUCGGCCACAUUGGGACUGAGACACGGCCCAAACUCCUACGGGAGGCAGCAGUAGGGAAUCUUCGGCAAUGGACGAAAGUCUGACCGAGCAACGCCGCGUGAGUGAAGAAGGUUUUCGGAUCGUAAAA